Molecule: ribosomal RNA, 207 nt
Filed under: uncultured bacterium
Lineage: Bacteria
Description: partial 16S ribosomal RNA
Rfam family: Bacterial small subunit ribosomal RNA
Source: RNAcentral
CGGAUUGUAGGCUGCAACUCGCCUACAUGAAGUCGGAAUCGCUAGUAAUCGCGGAUCAGCAUGCCGCGGUGAAUACGUUCCCGGGCCUUGUACNCACCGCCCGUCACACCAUGAGAGUCGGGAACACCCGAAGUCCGUAGUCUAACCGCAAGGGGGGCGCGGCCGAAGGUGGGUCCGGUAAUUGGGGUGAAGUCGUAACAAGGUACC